RNAcentral lists this unclassified non-coding RNA (193 nucleotides) under uncultured fungus. Its description in RNAcentral is "sequence contains ITS1". Lineage: Eukaryota; Fungi. The record is from RNAcentral.
UUAACUAUUAUAUAGUACUCAGACGACAUUAUAACACGGAGUUUGGGGUCCUCUGGCAGGUGCACCCUAGGGGACCCAGGGGCUGCAAGCAGCGACCCGCCAAAGCAACAAAGGUAACAAAACACAGGGUGGAGAUCUACCCGUGAGGGCAUGAUACUCUGUAAUGAUCCUUCCGCAGGUUCACCUACGGAAA